RNAcentral lists this ribosomal RNA (733 nucleotides) under uncultured bacterium. Its description in RNAcentral is "bacterial SSU rRNA". It matches the Rfam family "Bacterial small subunit ribosomal RNA", at positions 96 to 826 of the family's 1533-position model. The record is from RNAcentral.
CGGCGCACGAGUGCGUAACGCGUAUGCAACCUACGCUCUAACUGGGGAAUAGCCCCGAGAAAUCGGGAUUAAUACCUCAUAACAUUUAUCAUUCGCAUGUUUGAUAAAUUAAAGUUUCGACGGUUAGAGAUGGGCAUGCGUGACAUUAGCUAGUUGGUGAGGUAACGGCUCACCAAGGCUGCGAUGUCUAGAGGUUCUGAGAGGAUUUUCCCCCACACUGGUACUGAGACACGGACCAGACUCAUACGGGAGGCAGCAGUAAGGAAUAUUGGGCAAUGGACGAAAGUCUGACCCAGCUAUGCCGCGUGCAGGAUGACGGCCCUACGGGUUGUAAACUGCUUUUGUAUAGGAAGAAACCUCACUACGUGUAGUGGGCUGUCGGUACUAUACGAAUAAGCACCGGCUAACUCCGUGCCAGCAGCCGCGGUAAUACGGAGGGUGCAAGCGUUAUCCGGAUUUAUUGGGUUUAAAGGGUGCGCAGGCGGAAUGAUUAGUCAGUGGUGAAAUCCUACAGCUCAACUGUAGAACUGCCAUUGAUACUGUCAUUCUUGAGUACAGUUGAAGUGGGCGGAAUGUAUCAUGUAGCGGUGAAAUGCAUAGAUAUGAUACAGAACUCCUAUAGCGAAGGCAGCUCACUAAACUGUUACUGACGCUCAGGCGGGAAAGCGUGGGGAGCAAACAGGAUUAGAUACCCUGGUAGUCCACUCCGUAGACGAUGGGCACUAGUUGCAGC